RNAcentral lists this ribosomal RNA (394 nucleotides) under uncultured eukaryote. Its description in RNAcentral is "partial 18S ribosomal RNA". It matches the Rfam family "Eukaryotic small subunit ribosomal RNA", at positions 592 to 976 of the family's 1831-position model. The record is from RNAcentral.
CAAUAGCGUAUAUUAAAGUUGUUGCAGUUAAAAAGCUCGUAGUUGGAUUUCUGGCAGAGUAUGCCUGGCCCGCCGUCUAGUACGGUGUGUUUGCCGGUUGCGUAUUCGCCAUCCUGCGGGAGAAUUUGUCUGGGCCUGUUAUGGGUUUUCCGGGCAGAGGGCCCCGUACUUUUACUUUGACAAAAUUAGAGUGUUCAAAGCAGGCAUUAUGCUUGAAUACAUUAGCAUGGAAUAAUGAAAUAGGACUUUGGUUCUAUUUUGUUGGUUUUGAGAGCCAAAGUAAUGAUUGAUAGGGAUCGUUGGGGGUGCUUGUAUUGAACGGCCAGAGGUGAAAUUCACGGAUUCGUUCAAGACAAACUUAUGCGAAAGCAUUCACCAAGGAGGUCUUCUUUAA